Molecule: ribosomal RNA, 109 nt
Filed under: Pteropus alecto (black flying fox)
Lineage: Eukaryota; Metazoa; Chordata; Mammalia; Chiroptera; Pteropodidae
Source: RNAcentral
UUCUACAGUCAUGCCACCCUGAACACGCCUGAUCUCGGAAGCUAAGCAGGGUUGGGCCCGGUUAGUACUUGGAUGGGAGACCACCUAUGAAUACCAAGUGCUAUAGGCG